This 498-nucleotide ribosomal RNA is filed under the name uncultured bacterium. RNAcentral describes it as "bacterial SSU rRNA". It matches the Rfam family "Bacterial small subunit ribosomal RNA", at positions 25 to 518 of the family's 1533-position model. The record is from RNAcentral.
CAGGAUGAACGCUAGCGACAGGCCUAACACAUGCAAGUCAGGGGCAGCACAAGGAGCAAUCUGAGGUGGCGACCGGCGCACGGGUGAGUAACACGUAUGCAACCUGCCUGUAAGCGGGGAAUAACCCGUUGAAAGACGGACUAAUACCGCAUAAUACUAAAUUACUGCAUGGUAAUUUAUUUAAACAUUUAUGGCUUACAGAUGGGCAUGCGCAUGAUUAGCUAGUUGGAGAGGUAACGGCUCCCCAAGGCAACGAUCAUUAGGGGUUCUGAGAGGAAGGUCCCCCACACUGGUACUGAGACACGGACCAGACUCCUACGGGAGGCAGCAGUGAGGAAUAUUGGUCAAUGGACGAGAGUCUGAACCAGCCAAGUCGCGUGCAGGAAGAAUGUCCCUAUGGAUUGUAAACUGCUUUUGCGGGGGAAUAAAGUGCAUCACGUGUGAUGUUUUGUAUGUACUCUGCGAAUAAGGAUCGGCUAACUCCGUGCCAGCCGCUGC